GACGAACGCUGGCGGCGCGCUUAACACAUGCAAGUCGAACGGAAAGGCCUGCUUUCCCUUGUGGAUUGCGGGUACUCGAGUGGCGAACGGGUGAGUAACACGUGAGUGAUCUGCCCCCAACUUGGGUAUAAGCCUGGGAAACUGGGUCUAAUUCCCGAUAGGACUGCAGGGUGGUGCCUGUGGUGGAAAACGAUUUUCUAGUGGUUGGGGAUGAGCUCGCGGCCUAUCAGCUUGUUGGUGGGGUAAUGGCCUACCAAGGCGGCGACGGGUAGCCGGCCUGGGGGGGUGGACGGGCACAUUGGGACUGAGAUACGGCCCAGAAUCCUACGGGAGGCAGCAGUGGGGAAUAUUGCACAAUGGGCGGAAGCCUGAUGCAGCGACGCCGCGUGGGGGAUGACGGCCUUCGGGUUGUAAACUCCUUUCGACCGCGAGGAAGCCACCUGGUUGGAAGGGUGGUGACGGUAGUGGUAGAAGAAGCACCGGCUAACUACGUG
This 494-nucleotide ribosomal RNA is filed under the name uncultured bacterium. RNAcentral's name for it is "partial 16S ribosomal RNA". It matches the Rfam family "Bacterial small subunit ribosomal RNA", at positions 28 to 507 of the family's 1533-position model. The record is from RNAcentral.